This 228-nucleotide ribosomal RNA is filed under the name uncultured bacterium. Its description in RNAcentral is "partial 16S ribosomal RNA". It matches the Rfam family "Bacterial small subunit ribosomal RNA", at positions 104 to 334 of the family's 1533-position model. The record is from RNAcentral.
CGGGGUGAGUAAUGUCUGGGAAACUGCCUGAUGGAGGGGGAUAACUGCUGGAAACGGUAGCUAUACCGCAUAACGUCGCAAGACCAAAGAGGGGGACCUUCGGGCCUCUUGCCAUCGGAUGUGCCCAGAUGGGAUUAGCUAGUAGGUGGGGUAACGGCUCACCUAGGCGACGAUCCCUAGCUGGUCUGAGAGGAUGGCCAGCCACACUGGAACUGAGACACGGUCCAG